Molecule: long non-coding RNA, 644 nt
Organism: Oncorhynchus keta (chum salmon)
Lineage: Eukaryota; Metazoa; Chordata; Actinopteri; Salmoniformes; Salmonidae
Exons: 3
Source: RefSeq, a predicted model, not a curated record
CUCAGUAAACCAGAGGUACAUCACAGCACCAGUUAUAACCCUGUCAAAAACAAACACUCAGGAAACCAGAGGUACAUCACAGCACCAGUUAUAACCCUGUCAAAAACAAACACUCAGGAAACCAGAGGUACAUCACAGCACCAGUUAUAACCCUGUCAAAAACAAACUCAGUAAACCAGAGGUACAUCACAGCACCAGUUAUAACCCUGUCAAAAACAAACUCAGUAAACCAGAGGUACAUCACAGCACCAGUUAUAACCCUGUCAAAAACAAACACUCAGUAAAUCUAGGAACAAGACACAAAGUGCAAGUCUUGCGAAACUAACACAUCACAUCAUGCAAACAGGACAAAGUAAACAUUUUGGUUAAAAAAAAAAUAUAUAUAUAUAAUUGGCAGUAUUUAAAAAAAGGAUAGACAUCUUAGGACAAACAGUCAAAAGAGUUAUGCUGUGGCUCUUUGGACGCACGGCUUGAUGAAUGACCUUUGCACUGAAGGGAUUGGGUACAUUGUCACAUUUCAUUAUGAAAAAACAGGAGAAUACCAGGACACUGGUUUGUCUGUUUAAACGUAGCAGUGACUCUGACCACGGUCCAUCCUCAUCAGGCUAACUGGUGUACAUCAAGUCCUUAGAGGAUGAAACAUG